UGGCUCAGAACGAACGCUGGCGGCAGGCUUAACACAUGCAAGUCGAGCGCCCCGCAAGGGGAGCGGCAGACGGGUGAGUAACGCGUGGGAAUCUACCCUUUUCUACGGAAUAACGCAUGGAAACGUGUGCUAAUACCGUAUGAGCCCUUCGGGGGAAAGAUUUAUCGGGAAAGGAUGAGCCCGCGUUGGAUUAGCUAGUUGGUGGGGUAAAGGCCUACCAAGGCGACGAUCCAUAGCUGGUCUGAGAGGAUGAUCAGCCACAUUGGGACUGAGACACGGCCCAAACUCCUACGGGAGGCAGCAGUGGGGAAUAUUGGACAAUGGGCGCAAGCCUGAUCCAGCCAUGCCGCGUGAGUGAUGAAGGCCCUAGGGUUGUAAAGCUCUUUCACCGGUGAAGAUAAUGACGGUAACCGGAGAAGAA
RNAcentral lists this ribosomal RNA (421 nucleotides) under Ensifer adhaerens. RNAcentral's name for it is "bacterial SSU rRNA". It matches the Rfam family "Bacterial small subunit ribosomal RNA", at positions 20 to 489 of the family's 1533-position model. The record is from RNAcentral. Lineage: Bacteria; Pseudomonadati; Pseudomonadota; Alphaproteobacteria; Hyphomicrobiales; Rhizobiaceae.